UAGGGAAUCUUCCACAAUGGACGCAAGUCUGAUGGAGCAACGCCGCGUGAGUGAAGAAGGUUUUCGGAUCGUAAAGCUCUGUUGUUGGUGAAGAAGGAUAGAGGCAGUAACUGGUCUUUAUUUGACGGUAAUCAACCAGAAAGUCACGGCUAACUACGUGCCAGCAGCCGCGGUAAUACGUAGGUGGCAAGCGUUGUCCGGAUUUAUUGGGCGUAAAGCGAGCGCAGGCGGAAUGAUAAGUCUGAUGUGAAAGCCCACGGCUCAACCGUGGAACUGCAUCGGAAACUGUCAUUCUUGAGUGCAGAAGAGGAGAGUGGAACUCCAUGUGUAGCGGUGGAAUGCGUAGAUAUAUGGAGGAACACCAGUGGCGAAGGCGGCUCUCUGGUCUGCAACUGACGCUGAGGCUCGAAAGCAUGGGUAGCGAACAGGAUUAGAUACCCUGGUAGUCCAUGCCGUAAACGAUGAGCGCUAGGUGUUGGGGACUUUCCGGUUCUCAGUGCCGCAGCAAACGCACUAAGCGCUCCGCCUGGGGGAGUACGACCGCAAGGUUGAAAC
Molecule: ribosomal RNA, 555 nt
Filed under: uncultured bacterium
Lineage: Bacteria
Description: partial 16S ribosomal RNA
Rfam family: Bacterial small subunit ribosomal RNA
Source: RNAcentral